RNAcentral lists this ribosomal RNA (766 nucleotides) under uncultured Prevotellaceae bacterium. Its description in RNAcentral is "bacterial SSU rRNA". It matches the Rfam family "Bacterial small subunit ribosomal RNA", at positions 69 to 828 of the family's 1533-position model. Lineage: Bacteria; Pseudomonadati; Bacteroidota; Bacteroidia; Bacteroidales; Prevotellaceae. The record is from RNAcentral.
GCAUUGAGUGCUUGCACUCUUUGGACGUCGACCGGCGCACGGGUGCGUAACGCGUAUCCAACCUUCCCAUUACUGUGGGAUAACCUGCCGAAAGGCAGACUAAUACCGCAUAGUCUUCGAUGACGGCAUCAGAUUUGAAGUAAAGAUUUAUCGGUAAUGGAUGGGGAUGCGUCUGAUUAGCUUGUUGGCGGGGUAACGGCCCUCCAAGGCUACGAUCAGUAGGGGUUCUGAGAGGAAGGUCCCCCACAUUGGAACUGAGACACGGUCCAAACUCCUACGGGAGGCAGCAGUGAGGAAUAUUGGUCAAUGGACGGAAGUCUGAACCAGCCAAGUAGCGUGCAGGAUGACGGCCCUAUGGGUUGUAAACUGCUUUUGUAUGGGGAUAAAGUUAGGGACGUGUCCCUAUUUGCAGGUACCAUACGAAUAAGGACCGGCUAAUUCCGUGCCAGCAGCCGCGGUAAUACGGAAGGUCCAGGCGUUAUCCGGAUUUAUUGGGUUUAAAGGGAGCGUAGGCUGGAGAUUAAGUGUGUUGCGAAAUGUAGACGCUCAACGUCUGAAUUGCAGCGCAUACUGGUUUCCUUGAGUACGCACAACGUUGGCGGAAUUCGUCGUGUAGCGGUGAAAUGUUUAGAUAUGACGAAGAACUCCGAUUGCGAAGGCAGCUGACGGGAGCGCAACUGACGCUUAAGCUCGAAGGUGCGGGUAUCAAACAGGAUUAGAUACCCUGGUAGUCCGCACAGUAAACGAUGGAUGCUCGCUGUUGGUA